GACGAACGCUGGCGGCGCGCUUAACACAUGCAAGUCGAACGGAAAGGCCUGCUUUCCCUUGUGGAUUGCGGGUACUCGAGUGGCGAACGGGUGAGUAACACGUGAGUGAUCUGCCCCCAACUUGGGUAUAAGCCUGGGAAACUGGGUCUAAUUCCCGAUAGGACUGCAGGGUGGUGCCUGUGGUGGAAAACGAUUUUCUAGUGGUUGGGGAUGAGCUCGCGGCCUAUCAGCUUGUUGGUGGGGUAAUGGCCUACCAAGGCGGCGACGGGUAGCCGGCCUGGGAGGGUGGACGGCCGCAUUGGGACUGAGAUACGGCCCAGACUCCUACGGGAGGCAGCAGUGGGGAGUAUUGCACAAUGGGCGGAAGCCUGAUGCAGCGACGCCGCGUGGGGGAUGACGGCCUUCGGGUUGUAAACUCCUUUCGACCGCGAGGAAGCCACCUGGUUGGAAGGGUGGUGACGGUAGUGGUAGAAGAAGCACCGGCUAACUACGUG
This 494-nucleotide ribosomal RNA is filed under the name uncultured bacterium. RNAcentral describes it as "partial 16S ribosomal RNA". It matches the Rfam family "Bacterial small subunit ribosomal RNA", at positions 28 to 507 of the family's 1533-position model. The record is from RNAcentral.